UCACCUUCAAGAGAUUGAAAGCACUCCAAGAAAUCCUUCAUACAUGUAUCUCAUAUAACUUUUUCUUGGUUAGUUUCAUUAAGGCUUUGAUGACAUUAAAAUCUCCCAGAAUACACCAACUGUCAGUAGAGGAGUGAGUUAUUAGAUCUCUCCAAAGGUCACUUCUCUCAAUGUAAUAGUUUAAACCAUAAACAAAGGAUACCAGAAAAGAGUUAUCAAUGUUCAGGAUAUUAUUGGCUCUACAGUGAAUGAUCUAGGAUGAAACAAAAAGGAUGUCCACUUUCCAAACAGAAGGGUUCCAUCCAACCCAGAUUCUCCCAUUGCUAUGAUAGUCAUAGUUAAAAAACCAAGACCAAUUGUGACAAAUUUUCCUAGCUAUUCUAGUGGCCUGAUGCGCUUUGACCCUAGUCUCAAGGAGGCCAACAAAAGAUAUAUGAUUAUCACUAAUAAGUUGCUUAACAUAAGCCUGUUUAGGCUUUUUAUUUAAACCUCUAAUAUUAUAGGAAGCUAACAUAAGAUUAUUGAGGGGUGUGCCCAGCUUUCCCUUUUCCUUUCCUCUUCUUAGCAGCUUGAGGAUUUUCAUUUGUAAAGUUCUAUUUUUUCUUUAGAUCCUUCCCUUCCUUCUUAUUGAU
This 632-nucleotide long non-coding RNA is filed under the name Panax ginseng (ginseng). Its description in RNAcentral is "long non-coding RNA (PGIN_LNC010458)". The record is from RNAcentral. Lineage: Eukaryota; Viridiplantae; Streptophyta; Magnoliopsida; Apiales; Araliaceae.